UACAGAGGAGCCAAGCGUUGUCCGGAAUUAUUGGGCGUAAAGGGCUCGUAGGCGGUCUGUUGCGUCGGGAGUGAAAACUUACAGCUUAACUGUGAGCGUGCUUCCGAUACGGGCAGACUUGAGGUAUUCAGGGGAGAACGGAAUUCCUGGUGUAGCGGUGAAAUGCGCAGAUAUCAGGAGGAACACCGGUGGCGAAGGCGGUUCUCUGGGAAUAUCCUGACGCUGAGGAGCGAAAGUGUGGGGAGCGAACAGG
Molecule: ribosomal RNA, 253 nt
Filed under: uncultured bacterium
Lineage: Bacteria
Description: partial 16S ribosomal RNA
Rfam family: Bacterial small subunit ribosomal RNA
Source: RNAcentral